GGGGGCCCGCAAGCGUUGGAAUGGUGAUUUUUUCAAUGCAACGCGAAAAACUUUACCUACUCUUGACAUCGAGAAAACUUGGAAAAAAUGCUUUGUUGUCUUCAGAAACUCUGAGACAGGUGCUGCAUGGCUGUCGUCAGCUCGUGUUGUGAAAUGUUGGGUUAAGUCCCCGCAACGAGCGCAACCCCUUAUCCUUUGUUUGCCAUCGGUUGGGCCGGGAAUUCAAAGGAGACUGCCAAUGAUAAACUGGAGGAAGGUGGGGAUGACUUCUAGUGGCCCUGGCCCUUACGACUAGGGCUACACUACUGCGACACUGGCGUAUACAAAGAAAACCGACCUCGGGAGAGCAACCCAACCUCAGUAACUAAGUCCUAAUCCGGAUUGGAGUCUGCAACGCGACUCCUUGAAAUCGGAAUCACUCGUAAUCGUACAUCAGAAUGCUG
This 443-nucleotide ribosomal RNA is filed under the name uncultured bacterium. RNAcentral describes it as "bacterial SSU rRNA". It matches the Rfam family "Bacterial small subunit ribosomal RNA", at positions 915 to 1359 of the family's 1533-position model. The record is from RNAcentral.